UACAAAGGUAGCAUAAUCAAUAGUUUCUUAAUUGGGNGCUUGUAUGAAAGGGUUUAUGAAUUAUAAUUUUUAUUUUAUUUAUUUUUAGAAUUUUAUUUCUAAGUAAAAAAGCUUAGUUUUUUUUUUGGGACGAAAAGACCCUAUAGAACUUAAUUGAUUUAAUUUAUUAUUUAUUUUUUGUUAAAUAACAUUAAUUUAAUAUCUAAAUUUAUUUGAUUGGGGCGAUUAUUAAGAAUAAUAAAACUUUAUUUUUUUAUUUCAUUUGUUUAUGAUUUGUUGAUCCAAUGUUUUUGAUUAAAAGAUUUAGUUACCUUAGGGAUAACAGCGUAAUUUUAAUGGGGAGUUCAUAUUUAUAUUAAAGUUUGCGACCUCGAUGUUGGAUAA
Molecule: ribosomal RNA, 384 nt
Filed under: Aphrodes hamiltoni
Lineage: Eukaryota; Metazoa; Arthropoda; Insecta; Hemiptera; Cicadellidae
Description: partial 16S ribosomal RNA
Source: RNAcentral